Molecule: ribosomal RNA, 114 nt
Filed under: bacterium
Lineage: Bacteria
Also listed under: 1 other name
Source: RNAcentral
CCCGGUGAUGAUUGCAGUGGAGCUAAACCUCUUUCCAUUCCGAACAGAGAAGUUAAAACCACUAGCGCCGAAAAUACUUGAAGAAAUUUCUGGGAAGAUAGGUCGUCGCCGGGA